Molecule: ribosomal RNA, 253 nt
Filed under: uncultured bacterium
Lineage: Bacteria
Description: partial 16S ribosomal RNA
Rfam family: Bacterial small subunit ribosomal RNA
Source: RNAcentral
GACGUAGGGGGCCAGCGUUGCUCGGAAUUACUGGGUGUAAAGGGUUCGUAGGCGGUGUGGCAAGUCGGGAGUGAAAUCUCUGGGCUCAACCCAGAGUCUGCUUCCGAAACUGCCGUGCUUGAGUGUGGCAGAGGAAGGUGGAAUUCCACGUGUAGCGGUGAAAUGCGUAGAGAUGUGGAGGAACACCAAUGGCGAAGGCAGCCUUCUGGGCCAACACUGACGCUCAUGCACGAAAGCGUGGGGAGCAAACAGG